GUGGGGAAUAUUGGACAAUGGGCGCAAGCCUGAUCCAGCCAUGCCGCGUGUGUGAAGAAGGCCCUCGGGUUGUAAAGCACUUUCAGUGGGGAAGAAAGCCUGGUGGUUAAUACCCGUCAGGAAGGACAUCACCCACAGAAGAAGCACCGGCUAACUCCGUGCCAGCAGCCGCGGUAAUACGGAGGGUGCGAGCGUUAAUCGGAAUUACUGGGCGUAAAGCGCGCGUAGGUGGCUUGAUAAGCCGGUUGUGAAAGCCCCGGGCUCAACCUGGGAACGGCAUCCGGAACUGUCAGGCUAGAGUGCAGGAGAGGAAGGUAGAAUUCCCGGUGUAGCGGUGAAAUGCGUAGAGAUCGGGAGGAAUACCAGUGGCGAAGGCGGCCUUCUGGACUGACACUGACACUGAGGUGCGAAAGCGUGGGUAGCAAACAGGAUUAGAAACCCUAGUAGUCC
RNAcentral lists this ribosomal RNA (450 nucleotides) under uncultured bacterium. RNAcentral's name for it is "bacterial SSU rRNA". It matches the Rfam family "Bacterial small subunit ribosomal RNA", at positions 354 to 796 of the family's 1533-position model. The record is from RNAcentral.